RNAcentral lists this small nuclear RNA (107 nucleotides) under Piliocolobus tephrosceles (Ugandan red Colobus). The record is from RNAcentral. Lineage: Eukaryota; Metazoa; Chordata; Mammalia; Primates; Cercopithecidae.
AUGCUCACUUCAGCAGCAUAUAUACUAAAAUUGGAAUGAUACAGAGAAGAUUAGCAUGGCCCCUGUGCAAGGAUGACAUAUACAUUUGUGAAGCAUUCUGUAUUUUU